UACGUAGGUGACCAGCGUUGUCCGGAUUUACUGGGCGUAAAGCGUGCGUAGACGGCUAUCUAAGUCGGGUGUGAAAGCCCCGGGCUCAACCUGGGAAUUGCAUUCGAGACUGAAUAGCUAGGGUACGGUAGAGGGAAGCGGAAUUUCCGGUGUAGCGGUGAAAUGCGCAGAUAUCAGGAAGAACACCCGUGGCUAAGGCGGUUCUCUAGUACGGUACUGACGCUGAGACGCGAAAGCGUGGGGAGCGAACAGG
RNAcentral lists this ribosomal RNA (253 nucleotides) under uncultured bacterium. RNAcentral's name for it is "partial 16S ribosomal RNA". It matches the Rfam family "Bacterial small subunit ribosomal RNA", at positions 524 to 776 of the family's 1533-position model. The record is from RNAcentral.